RNAcentral lists this long non-coding RNA (15907 nucleotides) under Vitis vinifera (wine grape). Its description in RNAcentral is "long non-coding RNA (VVIN_LNC003914)". The record is from RNAcentral. Lineage: Eukaryota; Viridiplantae; Streptophyta; Magnoliopsida; Vitales; Vitaceae.
CUUGGACCGUUCUGAAGAGGCAGGAAUUGAAGAAAUUGUUGAAAUCAUGAGUGGAUUUUCAAGAGAUGGUGAGGAAGCCUCCAACAUCAACAAGCUUCAAGCGAGGAAAGCAGUUAUGAGUAGGAUGUUGGUGAAGAGCCUGCAAGCUGGGGAUGCCGUGUUUGAGAGAAUAUCCCAUGCUGUUUAUUUGGCUGCAAGAGGAGUAGUGCUUGCAGGGAAUGGCCCUCAAGGAAGAAAAUUAGCAGAAAUGGCACUCCGGCGGGUGGGAGCUGUUGAUCUGACUGAUAGAGUGGUGGAAGCUGCUGAAAUAUCGCUGGCAGCAGCCACGGUGUCGGUUAAUGUUCAUGGGCAAUGGUAUACAUAUCUGACUGAUAACAUGUGAUUGGUUUGACAUGAAGAAGAAUGAAGUUAAUUACAAGGUGGAAAGAAGAAAAUAAUGCACACACCUGUACAUAGUAGUGGGUGUACAUUUAUGUUUUAAGUAUGAACACAGGAUGGAGGGUUGUUAAUAUGAAGAAAUAUUUCAUGAAUAGGAGAGGGAUGUUGUAAAUAAUAUUUAUAACUGAAUUGAAUGUUUCUUUUCUAUUCUGAUUAAGCUCCCUUUAUUUUCUGUCCAGACUCCAGAGAAAUAAAGUCUGUCUGUCUGUCUGCAUGUCUGUUAAUAACAUUUGGGAUAUAAAUAAUUGCUUUGAUGUUUCAUACGCUAAGUUUCUCUUUCAUUUUGCUACUUGUGAUAUGACCUAUAACCAAAAGUUCUUAGUUGUUAGAAUGGAUUUGGUUCAGGUAAGGAAGGAUGGAAACAAGCAAAAGCUUGUGUAAUCUCUGUAAAUCAUUGGUAACAUAGUUCUGGAAAAUCCAAUUGAAGUAAUGUUUGACCGCUUUUUUGUGGAUUAGGUACCUUAGAAAUGAGAACUUGCACAGAGGAGUGAAUUUUGUAUUGCAUGAAGAGAGUGAAUAAGCUCAACAUAACACCAUUCUUCAUUCCUUUACAAAAUUAGGAAGUUUAAAUGUGAAUGAAUCAACUUACAGUAUUCUUCAUGAUGUAUGAAUCUUUCUGCGAUAUAAACAAUGAGAACCAAGAUGGAAAUUGGAAUUCCUUCAAUGAACAGCAGCAACUUCCUCACUCCGGUGCUCCCCACCUUCCAUCCCCAACAAUCUUUGUCACGGUUUUUGACAAAUUAAAGCUACAAACACCUUAGCUAUUGAAAAGUAUAAGCCAAAAGAAAACAACCCUGUCACUUUCUGGUUAGCAAUAAGAUAUCAUACAUUUCAACCACAUAGAACCUACAAAAUGAUUUAAGAACACAACUUAUAAUUUGCAGAUUGGAAGGAUAGUCUUCAUGGUUGGAGAACAUACAAGUGGCUGUGAAUGUAUAAUUCUUGAAUAGAGUUGAGAAGUGUAUGAAGAUAUUAGGAGCUAUGUGAUUGUUCGUAUAUCAAGAUGGUCUGUGUCUUUGCUACUGUCUUCCAUGGGGAGAGCCAUGGGGUACUCAUUUCCAAAUGUUCAGUGAGAAAAUCAAAUUGAAAGCCUGCAGUGAAUAUCAAUAAAUUAGCCUAUGGAGAAUUUGAGGCUCAUGAGUAUAUAUCAAGAAGACAAGUCACUUAUUAUACCUGGAGAGCUGCUUGGCACCAUGUCUUAUGACCAUAGGCAACAAGAACGUCAAAGUUAAUUUGUGUAUAAGGACAUUUGAGACUAGAACUGACAAUUCAAUCUUAAUAUUGAAGCACAAGAUGUUGAACAUCAACUUCUGUGAAGGAUUAGAGUUUAGGGCAAGUAGAUAUGCCCUUAAAGGAACAGUUAGAUGUCAAUCACAACUGACCUGAAAUUGGCUAGAUCGAAAUGGUACUUCAAACACAUAUUGAGAGGUGCUUUGACUUCUUCUAUGUCUCUGCCUUACAAGGAAGAGAAUACUUCAAAAAAUCCACAUAAUCAUUGGUAAGUACAAGAAGACCCCAAUAUUCUGUGUCUGUUUUCAACUGCUCUGUUGGAAGAAAAAAAAAAAGGACAAAACCCCUCUAAUUGAAGGAAGGGAGCAAAGUAGCAUAAGAUGCUACUUUCCCAUGCCAGUCUUUUGUAUUAUGAAGCUUUGAACCAUCUCAACCCAAAGGAUAUCCAUCAAUCUAAUAGUUCAUCAUGAUUUGCAAAACACAGGUUUGCAUGCAACAAUGACACUAAACAAUAAAGAUUGAUGCUAGUUUAGCUUAUUAGAGAACAAAGGACUACUGAGUCAGACAUCUGUUUUCCAUUGGAGAUGGUGCCCUAAUCAAGAAGAUUAAAGGGUGAUUGGAGUUGGAAGUGUCAUAAUCACCUGAAAGAAAACAAUUGCAAAGACAUGGACAGAUGCACGUAAAAUGUAUGUAUCCAUUAACAAAUGGUUAAUUGAGAGGAAGACAUCAUUUUUGAAACCAAAAGGAUUUCAGGUUUCUUAGCUUUGGUAGUAACACACCCAAGAUCUCCUUGUUUAAUACAAAUCAUCUUCCUAGAACUAAAACAGCAGCAUCCUCAGACGCCUUUGCAGAAGCUCUCAGCACCAGUUAAUGAAGGUGACUCAUGAGGGAUGGUCAAAGGGCUGGCUGAGAUAUCUGAAACAGAAGACAUGUUUAUUAUCUGUCUGUGUACAAUGGGAAUUCCUUGUAUUCAGGAUGUCAAAAUCUUUCUAAACAUCCGACUCUGCAGAUACAAACAAUGGGAAUUCCUCCAAUGAGAAGCACAGGAACAUUGUCAAUUCUAAGAAAAGGAUCCUGUUUCUGAAUAGGAUACAUGACAGUGAUCUAAGUAAUCAUCCCAACAGCAACAUGAGACAGAAGACCUAAUAAAAACCAAAACAAGAACAAAAUGACAUCAAAAUUAGGAAAGAAAUAAAUGCAGCAAAAUCAUAACAAAGAUGCUAUAUUCCUGUAUCCUUGCCUUAGGAAUGUAACUAAUUGGUGAUCUCUCCCUUUAUGCAAGCAGAAGCACAGGAAACACCAUCUCUGGUAAAAUGCUGACUGCCAAACCAAAAUAGAGCAACCUCAGCCAAACAUGACCUGACUUGACCAAUUCAGUACUAGAAACAUAGAAGCCAUUGUAGUAGUGUACUUGUCAUCUCUCUGUUUAAUAUCAGUUAAGUUUUCAGGCACUGAAAGAGCAGAACCUUCCUCACUCCACCUUCCAUCCCCAGCAACCUUUGAAAUAAUUUUGUUACAAAUUAAAACAACAAAUGCCUUAUUUAUUGAAAAGCAUAAGCCCAAAGAAAACAUACCUGUUUCUUUCUGGUUAGGUAUAAGAUACCACACAUUUCAACCUCAUACAACCUACAGAAUGAUGUAAGAGCAACUUGUAAUUUGCAGAUUAUGAAGAGGGUCUCCUCUGUUUUACCAUCAGAAAAUGGACCAAAGCAAUCAAAAUAUUUCUGUAACCAUAAAUUAGCCAAAAAAAUGUGCCCAUGUAUGCUUAUGUAAGAGAAAAUUAGAAAUCAGCCUUGCCAAUUGGAAAGGUAACUUACUUGAUUCAUGGAGAGUAUACAAGUGACUUUGUUUAGUAUGAGCUACCUGGAUUCAAAUAUUUCUUCACUCUUGAUAUCUUUGUUCCUGAUUUGUAGCUUAAUAAGAAAAAUGAAAAAAUAAGAAUCUUAAACCAAACAAACAGAGCAUAAAAUUGACUUUUGUUAAUGUGUAAUUCUUGAAUAGAGUCAAGAAGUGUAUAAAGAUUCUUAUGAUUGUCCAUGAGUAGAACUAUUAUGAUUGUCCAAGGGGAGUUGAACUUGGGUGUUGAAAAUUACCAAUGAAAGAGUCGAGGGCAUGUAUCUUGGCUGUUGUCUUUCAUGGGGAGUCAUUGAAGAAAGAUCAUUGCCAAAUGUCUAGUGAGAAAAUCAUAUGGAAAGCCUACAGUAAAUGUCGAUAAAUUAGUCCAUGGAACAGAAAUAGAGGCUCAUGAGUUUAUUUAAUAAAACAAUUCCCUUAUUAUACCUCAAGAACUGAUUGGCACAAUGUGUUAUGACAAUAGGCAACAACAUCUUAAAAGUUUGUGUAUUAGGAGACUUGAUACUAGAACCACAAAUCCAAUCUUAAUAUCUUGCAGCACAAGAUGUUGAAGAUCCACUUCUAUCAAGGAUGGAGCUCAGGACAAGUAGACGUCACACACAACUGAACUGAACUUGGCAAGAUUGACAGUUCCCAACGACCAGAGCUUAGAGGUGCUUUGACUUCUUUCUUCUGCAAGUACAAGAAGACCUCAAUAUGCCGUAUCAUGACGAUGUAAGAGUGAAGGAAGGGGGUAAAGUAGAAGACAAGUGGCAUCAAGUCAAAAGAUGAGAUUUUGAGUUUGAGACACUAGGCAAUUCCAUAUCAACACAAAUUGGACUUAAAAUAGUGACCGAAACCAAUUGAAUAAUAGGCUCUUUUGGAGGGAUCCUUUUUCUAAUUUCAUAAAUUCUCAGACUCUAAUUCUAUUUCAAAUAAGUCACAAAUCUAAUUAUUUCUAUUUACUUGAUAUAUUUCUCAUUAUCAAAACAAAAAUAUGUUUCUUAUAAGAAAUCAUUCAUGUUCAUCCUGGUUACUUAAUGUGAGUCGGAGAGGAAAAACGAUGAUUAACUUGAUAUGGAAGGGAGAAAAGAUACAGUAUCUUGAUUCUAAUUCAACUCCUGUGAAAAGAUAACUUGCAAAAGGAUCAAAAUAAGUAUUCAUAUAAUUCAAAAUUGUUUACAUGCAAUAGUUAGACGUAGAGCCUAUUUGUGAUGCAAGUAAAAUUGCAAGCACAUUUCAUCAUAGACAUGGAUAGGCAAUACCUAAGGUAUUAGAAGAUGUACGAGUGUUUAAAUCAUCGGUAUUCCACAGAAAAUACAUAAACUUGCAAAACCUUUUUAGUCAUUCAUGUAAUUUAGAGGCCCAAUAAGGUUAAUAAAGUCAUCAAAUUAAACCUUUGGUAAUGAUACCUUUUUGUUAGGCAUUGCCUGGCAGAAAGUUGUAAGUAUGGCAGAAAGUUGAAUCUCCAUUUUUAAGGAUGGAAAAGGGAUCAAUAAGUACAAAUCUAAAGUAGGCCACGAAAAAGAAAUAAAACAAUUAAAAUGUUCAACUGACCAUAAACUACCAGAAAUUCGUCCAUGCCUGCCUGUAUCACAGAAAUUCAUGGAUAAAUUCAGGAAUCACCUCUGCCCAUUAUAAAGGUAAAUUGAAUGAGCCAUUGAAAUAUUUCAAUUGUCUAUGUUAAAAUGCAAGUACCUAUUGUCAGUCUUCCUCCACACCUCUUCACUUCUUUGUUUUCAGUCUUGUAGCAUAAGAGAAAAAACCUGAAGUCAAAGGGCAGAGUAUUUUUGCACACUCAAAUCUCCAACAACAGGGCAGCAAAAAUUGACGCAGGCCAUAUUGCAAAUUUCCAAUGGAAUAGUCUCAGAAGUGUGUUUGCUGCUGCCUUUCCAGGGGGAGACUCAUCAAAUAUUGUUUCAUUGGAAAGAUUAUAGUCAUAUAUCAAGAACACAAGUCUCUUAUACGUGGAGGGCUACUUGGCACCUUGCCUGCCUGACCAUAGGCAAUGGAAUCUUACAAGUUUGUGUAUAUUGCCACAAACUUUUGUUAACCUGAGAAACAUAAAUAUAUUAUCACAAUAGAAAUGAUUAGAAAUUCAGACGCACAUAAAUAUUGGCACAUUGGUCUUUUUGUUUUUUUGGAGUGUAGAACAAGUACCUGACUGACUGUAUGGCACACCCAAGUCAUUAUGUAUGUGGAAUCACCACCUUCAUUAGUCAUUAGUAUAGCACACGAUCUAUCACUAUGUGUGGAAUGUGAGCUAUAUAUUCCCAAUCUUGGCCUUUCUCAAAUUGGCAUCUACACUCUAGCAAAGGACAACCAUAGAUUUUCAGCCAAGAGAGGGAGUUUGGCAGUCUCUCUUUUGUCAAGUAUUGGAGCUGAUCGCAGUCAGAGAUAAACAAUUUUUUAAGAGAGGUGAGGUGUUGAAGACCUACUUCUCUCAAGGAUUCGAGCACAGGGAGGAAGUCCAUCUCUAACUCUUCAAGAGAGGUAAGAUGUUGAAGCCCCUCUUCUCCGAAGGAUUGGAACUUACGGCAGUUGGAGAUGUAUAAUGUUGUUAGAGAGGUAAGAUGUCGAAGCCCGUUGCUGUCCAGAGACUUGAGAUUCGGAAGAUUAGAUAUGUGAAGAGAGGUAAGUGUGGAGGGCAGUAGGGACUCAUUGGGAAAUGAUUCCAUGUCUCGGCAUCCAUCAUUGAUUCUGAAUUCUGUAAGAGAGGACAGUCUUUGCAAACCCCAGUCCACCUGAGAUGUGAGUUGGUUGCAGGAUGAAAUUUCAACUUCACGUAGGUCGGAGGGCAAACCAUCUCUCUGAAACAACAAUUCUGGACAAUCUAUUAACCUCAAUUCCUGCAACGAUGAGAGCGUGUGCGCCAGCAACUUCAGCUUCCUGCAUCUGGAGAUCUCAUAGUUUGCAGACUCGAGAGCGGGCAAUUCAAUAUAUACAAGAUCAGGGCACCGAAUGAUUUGAAAACUAUUAAGAGAUGUGGGAUCCCCCUCUGAAACGGAGAUGGAGAGGAAUUCAAGCCCUUCGAAAUCAGAGAUGUUGAGACUGUUCAACCGUGGGAAGAUGCUUAAUGAGAAAGAUAAUGAGAAAGAAUUACGGCUGCUAACAUCACAAAUGGAUAAACUUUCAAGGAAUGGAUGGUGGGAUCUCAAUAGCGCAUGCAGGAGAAACUCCAGUUUGUUACACUUCGAGAUACGUAGUGACUUCAAUGUAGUGGGGAAACCAACACUGUGCAAGGGUCUGGAGAAACGACAACUUGUGAUGCACAAAUGUUGGAGAAGACAUGUGCUUCUUUGUAGCAUUCCCUCCUCCAAUACCCACUCUAUCGAAUCACAUUCUCUAAUGAAUAGCGUCUGUAUUCGUGGUGGUAGUUCCUCCAAUUGAGAAAUGUCUGAAAUUUCAAUUACUGAAGUUUGGAGAUUAGUGAACCCACAAGCUGGCCUUUUCAACCGAAAUUUACCAGAAUACGACAUUUUCCAUUCACGGAUUUGAGGAGCUCGGAGGGAGCCCACAAGCAACUCACAACCAAUGAUUUCAAGUUUCUUCAAUGAACGAAGCUGUUUUGGUAAUUUCCCAGUGAGUUUGGGAGAUUCAUUUAUGCAAAGCUCCUGAAGACGAGGGAAUUCUCCACGUCUGCAUCCACAACAUAACCAUUUCUCCCAGUUGUACAUCUUCUCGAAUCUUAGAGUUUGUAGGGACGGGAAGGAGGGCUCAAUUGUGUUGGAGGAAGAAGCAUUCCCAUAAAAUUCACUACCCACCAUUUUAACUCCUUUCAUUUGUAAGAUAGAAAGAUGUUUAAGAGAGGGUAGCUGCCCGAGUGGUGGCAAUGAUGGACAAUUGUUACAAUUGUGAAGCUUCAGGUAAACAAGAUUGAAGAAUGAAGGAUCUCCUACCCAAGCUGGAAAGCUUAAACCACUAAAAGAAUAAAUAUGGAGUCUCUUGAGGUUUGUAUGUGGCUGUAAGCUGCUGAGUAUAUCCCUUCUAUUUUGCACAACAACACCAGCAUCGAUAUUCUUGUAAUCCCACUGCAACUUCAACUCAUCAAGGUACUUUUUAUCCUUCAUAUUAGCUUCUAAUGCAUCCCUAUCACAUACAACAUUCUGCAGCUUUGAAAUGACAAGACUUCCCGAAAGCUCCCUCAAUGCUCCCAAUCUUAACCCACCAUUUUGGCCCACAAUAAAUGUAGAAAGUGAUUGUAAAUUCUUUAGCUUACAUAUAUCACUUGGCAUCUCUUUCACUGAAGAAGUAUAACGAAUAUCAAGGUAGCGCAAAUUAAUCAAUUUUUCCAUCCUUGAGGGUAAUUCAACGAGAUAAUCACAUCCCAAUAACAUCAUUGUUUGUAAAUUGUAUAAGUUACAAACCGAUUCAGGCAACUUUUGAAUCCUUGUCCUAGAGAGAUCCAAGUAGCGCAAGUGUUUCAACUUCUCAAUCGAAUGAGGCAAAUCAGUAAUAAGAUAACCAUUCAAACACAACACUCGUAAACAUUUCAUUUCUGGCAAUAUAUGCUGUAAAACUCUAUUACUCAAGUAUGUAUAAUAAUAGUUUCUUCUUGGUAAAAAUGUUCGGAGACGCUUCAUUUGAGGAAGUGUGUCAAAACUCUCAUAUACAUCAAAUUCACUAAUCAAAUACGAUAAAUGACGAGUUUUCUUCGAGACUCUGUAUAUCUUACCAUCCUCCAAAGAAACAGAAAAUUCUAUAGAUACCAAUUGUGCCAAGUCAUUAACAAGGUCGUGCAUUACAAAACAUGACUCAUUACUUACUGAAUUUUGGAAAAAUGACUUUGAUAGAAGUUCUUCAAAGUACAAAUUGCCUACCUCCUCCGGUCUUUUCUUGCUUUUUGAUUGUUCCAACAAACCUUCUGCCAUCCAUAACAAAACUAGCUUCUCCUUUUCGAAUUUGUAGUCUUUGGGAAAGAUUGAACAAUAAGAAAAACAACGUUUUAGAUGUGAAGGCAGGUAAUAAUAACUCAACCUCAGAGCAGGAAGAACCGCAUCUGUGGGCAAAUCCCAUAAUUCACUGUUUAAUACAUCAUCCCAUUCUCUUGCUUCAACCUUGGAGUGUAAGAGACUCCCCAUUGCUUUUAUAGCCAGCGGUAGACCUUGGCACUUGUGGACAAUCUUUUCUCCGAUUGCUUCUAGUUGUGGAUGCCCACUUGAGUCUCCAUUUUCAAAUGCAAGUUUUUUGAACAGGGACCAGCCAUCUUCAGAGGAUAACCCACCUAAACAAUGAGUAUGGACUGCACGCAUGGCAGAUGCAACCUUGGUGCUUCUCGUAGUUACAAUAAUCUUGCUUCCCUUUGCCCCGACUAUGAGCGGAGUUCGUAGCGUAUCCCAGUCACAAGAGUCUUCGUUCCAAACAUCAUCAAGGACAAGUAGAAAUUUCUUCAUAUUAAUUCUCUCCUUCAGUUGAACCUGAAGUAGAUUUAGAUCAGUGGUAUUGGACGUGGAUGAAUUGAUUGCCUCGAGAAUUGUUUUCGUUACUCUGAUAGGAUCAAAUUCUUCGGAAACACAAACCCAUGCCUUGAGAUCGAAGUGUUCCUUCACCCUUUGGUCAUUGUAGAGAAGCUGGGCAAGUGUGGUUUUGCCUGUGCCACCCAUGCCGACUAUGGAGAUCACACCCAUCGCAUCAGUACUCCUUGCAUUAUUGCACAGCAACAGUUGAACCAUCUCCUCCUUAAUUUGAGCCCUGCCAUAGACAAGAGAUUCAUCUACCAAAGAAGUAGAAGGCCACCUUUGUGCCAAUUUCUCACCAACGCCUUCUUUCAACCCGAGGACGUCUCUGUCUCGUGCCAUAUCUUCUAGUCUAUCAAUGAUCUCCUCCACCCUAGACUCUAUGCCCUGACCAUAAAAUGGAGCGAGAACCCAGGUUGACAUGUCCAUGAUGUUACCCACCUGACUUGUGCUGGUUUGGGACUCCGCAGCUUCCACCUUGUGUCGCAAAGCCUCUGUGGUGAUCUCAUCCAAUAUGUCCUCCGCAUCAUACACGGCCUCUUUAAGCAAGACCAGCCACUUCUUCACAUAUGGAUUUGUAAAUUGUUUGACCUCAGCAUCGUUGAGCACUGCAUGGACGACCAGCAACUUCCUUUCCAACUUCUUCAGGAGCGCAUCGCUGAGCUUCUGCCCCCGGAUGAAGCUCACAACCUCGCGAGAAGCCAACCUGUCAAAUAGAACAUGGAGAGAAGCUGAGAGAAACGCACCUCCAACUAAAGCCCCUGCCAUUUCUGUUUCUCUUGCAAAGGAGGUGAAAGAUGAAUCGAGGGAAGAAGAAAGCAAGCAGACCCAAAAUGAAACCUCCAAACCAGAAAAAAAAAUUAUAGAGAAAAUCCAACUUGUUGACGGUAAAGGAACUUUGGAUUCCAAAGUUUUCAUGGUAGACCCCCCCAUAUGCCAGCUUUCUUUGCCGACAACAAACUUCAUUGGUCAAUAUAUAGAAAAUGAAAAUUUGAUUGAAGAUUUUCAUCCUUCGUACAUGAUUUUCCUUCUAUUGUGAUAAAAACGUAGACUUAAUUGAAGCUUCAUGAAAGCCAUCUUCUGACUUUUUCUGGAUUUCAUCAUUGAUUAAAUGAAAAGUUUUGGUUGUAAAUCAAGGUAUUUUGAGAAUUAAAUGAGAUUUAUAUAAAAAAAUUUAUGAAAAUUUACUUUUAUUGUGUGCUUAAUAUAGGUGAAACUAACAAUUUUUUAGGGUUAAUAUAAAUAUUUUUCUCGUCAGAAUCAUCAAACCAAAAAAAGUUAUCAGGUUUUGAUUUGGAUUUAAGGGUUAAAUCUUGGGGGAUCAUGAUUAAAGAAUGAUAUUAUAAAUAUAUAAUUUAUACAUCAAUUAAAAAUAACUCACAAAAAUUAAAAUUAUUUGUAAAUAUUUUAAAUAAUUGAAAUAUUUUACCAUUUUAUGUUUAAUAUUAUUAUAUUAAAUUGUGAUAAGAAUAAAAUAUAAAUUUAUUAAUAUUUUUAUUUUACUAGUUACUAAAAAUAUUGUAUUUAAUUAUUGAAAGAAUGUAUUAUAUAUAAAAAAUAGAAUAAGAUUUUGAUAUUUAUUUUUUUCAUUUUAUAUUUUAUAAAUCUUGUUAAUAUUUUAGUGUGAAUAUAUACAUGAAUAUCCAAUAUAUUUAUUUUAUAUAUAAAAAAAAACCAUGUUUAGGGGAAAAAUGGAAAUGGUUGGCACUUUUACAUUUAAGGGGAAAGCAAGUGGAGGCAACGUAGUUUGUAUCUUUUUUCUAUUAAAUACAAAAAAGAGGUACAAGAACCUAAAAAAUAGAAGAAAAAUAACAAAAAAAAAAAAAAAGACGCAACAGUUGGGAAAAGGUUGGUCUAAUUCUUAUUUGACCAACCAAUUUGAACUCUUAGACUUGCUUAAGCUUUUAGUAAAUUGAUUAUUCAAAAUGGUAUCAUAACUUGAUUUGAUAGGAGGUCUUAUUGAUAGGAGGUGUUAAGAAUAUAAUAUGAAUAUUAAACCCAAAUCGUAUAAAUUUAAUUUUUAGGGAAAUUGGUUGUUUAACAAGAUCGAUGGUUCAAGUGGUCCACUAGGUAAAAUUGUUCAAUUUCUCAAUAGUAGGAUGAUUGGUCGAUAUUCCAACAGGUCGAAUUAUCCAAUUUGGUUCAAUUUUUAAAACCUUAAUUAAUAAGCAACAACAUACAAUUUCUAGAUGGAUUAUGAUUCUUUUAUCGAAUUUCAAUAGAAUCGUUAAUGCAUAAAGUUUUUUUAUAUAUAGAUACUAUGGAUUUGUUUGGCAAAUUUUGAAAAACAAUUCUUAGUUAUUUUGAGGAAUAAAAUUCUAUUUGAAAACUCAAAUAUAAAAAAAGGCUUUAUUAAUUUAUUUUUUAUAAAAGUAUUGUGCAUUUAUGUAUAAUUCAAAAGUUUUUAAAAUAUUUUACAUUUUUUCAAUUAUUACUCACAACUCAAGCAUGCACAAAAAAUAACUAAAAACAUCUCAAUUUUAUUAUAAAAAAGUUAUUUUUAGAAUACAUUCUCAAAAAAUUAUUUUGUAUAAAAAAUGUUCUAUAGAAAAAAAAUAAAAAUUCAAAAUCAUUAGUAAGUAAGCCUAUGCAACUGUGAAUGCUUUGCACAAAAUGAAAAAGAAAAAUGGUAUUUUUCAAUACCAUUUGAAAUCAUGAAAAGACCAUAACCUUGCAUACAAUAUAUGGGUCAAGGCCUUUAAAAAAAAAAAAAUCUUUUUAUUUGGAUAUCUAACUUGGGAUUCAAGGUUUAAUUAGGAAUUUGGUCAUUCAUCACCAUUUUCAUUAGUUGAAAUUCUUUGGUAGACUUGGUUGUUGACUUGGUAGUUCAUAUCAAGCCAUAUGGACUUCAGACCCACCCACUAGAUAUGAAUGAAAAUAAAGGCAAGUGGGGGUGGUAGGAAGACUCUUAUUAAUAGCUUUUGUCAAGUACUGGAGCUUAGGGUAGUUGUGGACCAAUGUUACUUAGGAUCUUAUCAAUUCUUGUUACUGACAGCUGGGGUUGUAGCUUAAGAAAAUAUCUUCAAUCAAACAAAUGAUACACCAGCAAACCCAAGUCUCCAACAAGAAUCAAAUUUCGCAUACCAGAUUUUCACCUUAUCCUUUCUCUAUUAUUUUUUCAAACAAAAAUUCCAUUAAUGUUAAAUUAUUAUUAAGUUGCAUAUUUUAGUUGCUUGAAUAUCAUUAUUUAAUAAGGGGCCAUGGGGUGUUAUGUAAUCCAAGUAGAAAUUAAUAAUAACUCUUUGUGCAAUUGUUUAGCCUACAUUUUUUUUUCUUUUUUCAUUUAGACAACACUUGUAGCAUCUUAAAUCCUGGUUUCCCUCAUUGGAUUGAAGUAGUUUUAGCAGAAAAUGUAAUGUGCAAAACCAUGGCUGCUACAUGUAACUCUAUCGAUAUAUCUAAAUCAACUAUUUUUUUUUGUCAAAGGUGAAAAAUGAUUAGUACUAGUACAUUAAAAUAAGAACUAUAUGUUGCAUAAGGAAAAGGUUUAAUAUUGCAACAUAUUAAUAGAAGGGCAUCAACUAAAAUUAUCCAUAUAUAAAGGUGUAUAGGAUUUUAUUAUGAUUCGAUCAAUCAUGCCUACCUUCACAGAUGCGAGAUAACAUUUCACAAUAUGAUAGAAAAUAUUACAGAGGAUACAAAUAAUUACAACUAUUGGAUUUCAAAAUAUUUCAAGUUUUCCACUCUUUGUAUUUUCAUUCUAAAUCAUGAGCUAUUUUGCUCCAUCCGGUGUCUCCCACUCUUCCUCGUAUCUACACCCUAGACCGUAAGGCCUCUUACUCUAUCAGAUGUCUUUUACUCAUUUUCACAUCUCUAUCCAUAAUAUGUAGUCUUUACAAACUGACCUCUAUUAUAUCUCUUCUCAUAACUUUUUCAACUUGAUCAUAACCUAAAAUAUUUAUAGAGAUACUCCUAUUUGCUUUACUUAUUCUAUAAAGAAUCUAAUUACGAUCACAUAUCAACCUAGGAAACAUUUUAUAUAAUAUUCCUUUUUGACCGCUGGAUUUGUAAUUUGCUUCGCCUUGGCAUCAUUGAGCACGGCAUGGACAGACAACAAUUUUCUCUUCAACUUCUUGAGGAGUGCAUGAUUGAGCUUGUGCCCCAUGAUGAAGUUGAGUACCUCGUGAGAAGCAAGUCUGUGAAAUAGAACUUGGAGAGAAGCUGAGAGAAAAACACCUCCAGCCAAAGCCCCAUCCAUGUCUGUUUCUCUGGCAAAAGGAAGUGAAAGAUGAAUCGAGGGAAGAAAGUAAGCACACCUAAGAUGAAACCUCCAAACUAGAAAAGAUUGGUUCAGGCGAAGUUUCCAAUGGUUGAAUGAAUUAUUGGACAUUGUGGUAGAGCCCAGACUUCUGCAUUGUUAUUGUUGACAAAACAUCACAGCUCAGUGGUCCACGAAAAGAAUACAAGGAGAAAGGAAGAAAAGGAAAGGGGACGUAAACGAAAGUCAUACAUGGAUAUGUGAACUUACAAAUCCUAUAUCCUUUUAUCAAUAAAACAGUUGAAAUAUUUUAUCAUUUUUAUAUUAAAUCAUGAUAAAAAUAAAAUGUAAAUUUAUUAAUAUUUUUAUUUUAUUAGUUCGUAAAUUAUAAUAUUUAAUUACUAAAAAAUAUAUUAUAUGUCAAGAAAAGAAGAAGUUUUUUUCUUUUCCUUUUUCUUUUUUAAAAUUUUACGUGAAUAUUCAAUAUAUUCAUUUCAAAUAAUUAAUGUUAUUAAAAAUGGUAUUUUUAAUACUAUUUGACAUCAUAAAAGGACCAUAACCUUGCAUACAAUAUAUGGGUCAAGGCCUUUUCAAAAAAAUAAUUUGUUUUUAUUUGGUCAUUCAGCACCAUUUUCAUUUAUUGAAAUUCUUUCGUCGACUUGGUUGUUGACUUGGGAAUUCACGUCAACCCAUAUGGACUUCAGAUUCCCCACCAGAGAUGAAUGAAAAUAAAGGCAAAUAUGAAAGGCAAGUGGUGGUGGUAGGAAGACUCUUAUCAAUAACUUUUGUCAGGUACUGGAGCUUAGGGUGGCUGUAGACCAAUGUCAUCCCGAAUCUUAUCAAUCCCUGUUACUGACUGCCGGGGUUAUAGCUUAAGAAAAUAUCUUCAAUCAAUCAAAUGAUGCAUCCGCAAAUCCAGGUCUCCAGCAAAAUUCAAAUCAUUAUUCACAUCACAACCUUUUUUGAACCUAUGUGCAAGCAAGGAGGCUGCUCGUGCGGUUAGGUGUUAAUGAAGGAUGAAAAUAUCGGUAAUCAUGGAUAUAUUAGUACUUGAAUUUUACGGAUAUAUUGAGAUAUAUCGACGAAUAUUUUGCCACAAAAUAUCGAUAGAUCAAAAAUUCAUCAAAACUUAUGAAAAUGUAAGAAAAAAACUCUUAAAAAUGAAAUUAGAAGUAUAAUAGACAUUUUAAAGUUGUUUUGUUGAAAAAUUAAUAUAUGUAUGAUAUGAUUUGCGAUAUUAAAUUUAAUUAUAUAGUGUUGACUAAUAAGAAAUGUGAAUUUUUUAAGUGUAGACUCAUUAUGAAGUUAAAUUAUUACAAAUAUACUAAUUAUAUAAUUUAAAUAUAUUACUAUAUUAAGUUAAUUUACUUACCUCUAUUGAAAAUAUAUUAAUUAAUUGUAAAAAUGUACUAAUUUAAAUUCAAUGUUAUAUUAAUUUAAAAUUGUAUUAAGUUAAUUUAUUCUUAAUAUACUAUUAUUACACUUGAAUAUCAAAAUAAAAUAAAAUUAUUAAUUUAAAACUAAAUUAUUGAAAAUUUACUAAUUAUGUUAUUUAAAAAUAUUUAUGAUUUUUAUUUUAAAAUAUUGGUACAUUUUGAUACAAAAUAUUUUUAUUUUAAAAUAUUGAUAAUUUUAUUUGUGAUUUUAUAUUUGUUUUAUAUUUAAUUAGUAUACAAAAUAAAUUAUAAGAUAAUUAAAGUUAACUUAUUUAUAAUAAUUUAAUUUUUUACCAAUUUUUCACUGAUAUAUUAUAUCCAAUAUAUCUUUGAAAUUUCAGCAAUUUUUUCCCAUUUAGGAUCGAUAUUUUGCUUGUAUCACCGAUAUAUUUGUGACACCGAAAUUUACCGAUAUUUCCAUCAGAUGAUAUAUCUUACUUAUAUAUUGUAUCCACCUUCUUCGAUACACUAUAUAUCGGCGAGAUAUUGCCAAUAUAUCUUGAUAUUUUCUUCCUUGGUGUUAACAGGGUUAGCCAAUUUGUUGAAUUUGUAGUUUAACAUCCACACACACAUUCUUUCCACAUCAUUUGAUGGCCAUUCAUAGAUUAUAUAUAAAUUUAGAGUACUUAGGAUUUGAGGGCCAUGAAGGGAAAAAAGACAGUGGUAAAGAAGGAAAAAAGUAGAACUGUAAUUAGCUUGGCCCUUGAGAAAUAUUUUUUGGUCACACUGUUCCAUCAUUUGGCCUGAACGAAAAUCCUCAAUAUGUCAAAGCUAUAUUGUACAAAAUUCCUUACAGGCUAAUAUUUGUUGACACACUUCUGCCAUGAAUACAUAAGCCGGUAGUGUUAGAGCUCUCCACAUUACUGAGACAGAUGGGCUCCUGUCAUGAAACAUUUGAUUUUUCCAGGAAAAGGAAAAUUUUGUCCUAGUUGAGUUCCAAUGACCCGUCCUUAUAUUUGCUUGCGCAAUUUUGGAGUUCAUUCUCUCCCUCCUUAAUUGUCUAAGAACUGAUGGAUGCUAAUCUUAAACCGUCUGGCAUUAGCCAACCCUAUGGAGAUGGAAAACAUGGUAGUUAGGUGUGGCGAAGAAGUCUCAAAGCUCUUGGACCCUUUUGAAGAGGCAGGAAUUGAAGAAAUUGUUGAAAUCAUGAGUGGAUUUUCAAGAGAUUGUGAGGAAGUCGCCAACAUCGACAAGUUUCAAGCGAGGAAAGCAGUUAUGAGCAGGAUGUUGGUGAAGAGCCUGCAACCUGGGGAUGUCAUGUUUGAGAGAAUAUCCCAUGCUGUUUAUUUGGCUGCAAGAGGAGUAGUGCUUGUAGG